AAAAAACAAAGUCAGAUUCUCACGCUUGAUUCUUGUAAGCUGAAAAGUAAAAACCUUAGAUCGUGUUUCAGCGAUUUCUUCUUUGAUCGAUGUCGCCGUUGUCUUCAGCUUGUUCUUUGUCAUCUUAUCAGUUCACAUAUACAGCUCACUCUACUAUUCCGCAUACCCAAGCUCCAUAACCAUACGCCACUCCUUCACCUUAUUUUCCGGCGCCGGUAGAGACCAUUACUGGAGUUGCAGUCUAUCCUCAACAUGUUAAACGGAUUUAUGUUGUAUACGCUUACCCUCAAUACAAACAGUUUUUAUAUUCUAUAUUGCUUCCAUGGGUGGAGUUUCUUGACCUGAUGUGCCAACUUGUUAAGGUUUGGGAAAAGGACAGUGUUUGGAUACACAUAUAAGAUAGGUAAGAUCCGAAUGAAAUUAUCUCCAAACUGAUAGGGUCCGCGUCCUUUUGGCACUUUGGAUUACUCAUUUGCCUUUAAUUUUUUUUUUCUUCUUCCUUUCUCUGGGCGUAGGGGCAAUAUAUGGAAUUUUUGUAAAGUUUUUUUUUUUUUUUUUUUUUUUCUGCUUUUGUACUCCCGAUUUAAUAGUAUAGAUACGGUGGACAACAUUAACUAUGAACAUAAUUCUUUUUCUCAUAUAUAUUUUUAGUCUACAAUUUGAUGUCUUGUA
Camelina sativa (false flax) is the source of this 672-nucleotide long non-coding RNA. RefSeq lists it as uncharacterized. The record is from RefSeq and is a predicted model, not a curated record. NCBI's taxonomy places the organism in Eukaryota, Viridiplantae, Streptophyta, Magnoliopsida, Brassicales, Brassicaceae.